RNAcentral lists this long non-coding RNA (4560 nucleotides) under Sus scrofa (pig). RNAcentral describes it as "lncRNA (ENSSSCG00025015336.1, ENSSSCG00065063930.1)". The record is from RNAcentral. Lineage: Eukaryota; Metazoa; Chordata; Mammalia; Artiodactyla; Suidae.
AACUAGUGAUGUACUGAUUUAUAAGAAUGCAAAUUAUUAGACUCAUCUGUCAUAUGUGUUACAAAAUGUUUUCCAUCUUCUCCUCUUGAUCAUUAGACUGUUUCCUGUGAAGAAUUUUAAAAUUUACAGAGUUUCAUUUAUUAAUAUUUUCACUAGAGUUUCUAUAUUUUGUGUCUUGGGCCUUUUUAUAUUUCGAGGCCCCUACCCCACUCCAUGGCCAGUGUUUACUUCCAAUACUUUUACAAUUUCACUUAUUUUCAAAUCUAUGAUCUCCCUGGAAUUAAUUUGGCCAUAAAGAAUGAGAUAGGGAGUCACCCUUAUUUACUUUUCUCUCCCUAAGUGGAUAGUCAGUUUCAACAUAAUUUUCUCUGUAUUUGAAUAUGGCUCUCUAAUUAUACAUUAGUGUUGGAUCUAUUUCUGGGAUUAAAAAAAUCUGUUUAUUUGUCAUGUCUUCCUAUACCUGUACCUUAAUUACUGUAAUUUAUAAUAGAUAUUAUAAAGUUAAUCUUCAUUUGUUAUUCCUACUUUUCAUAUUUUUCCUAGCUAUACUCACACAUUUAUUUUCAUAUUUUCUAUGUCUUUUGUAAUCAUUAUGUCUAGCCCAAAGUUACCUUGGUAUUUUAGUUGGAAUCACAUUAAAUUUUAACAUCUUUUAAUGUUGUCUUUUUAAGGUACCACUUUCCAUCUAUUCAUGUCCCUCGGUAGAGUUUUAAAAUUUUUCUUCAUAUUGGUCAUAUAAAUUUCUUAAUUAUUAGAAGAUAUUAAUUCUAGGUUUUAGCUGCUUUUAUACAGGAAAUCCAUGUAUUUUCUAUAUUUCUGUAGAUAUGUAGUUAUAUGUUGUAAAAUUCUAAUAAUUUCCAGUUAGUACACUUGGAUUGUAUCCAGGUAUAACAAUCAUAUCAUUUGUAAAUGAUGAUAAUUUUGCCUCUUUUUAUCCACUGUUUAAAUAUUUUAUAUCUCUCUUUCAUUUAAUUGUAUUAGCUGAUACAUCCAGAGCUGAGCCAAAUAAUAGUGGUGAAAUUGCCUUAUUCCCAGCUUCAAUGAGAAUACAUUUACAGUUUCAUAAUUAACUGACACUUUUUUAUACUGAUAUUUUAUUAAUACAUUUUUAUCAUAUAAAGAAUUAUUCUGCUCUUCCACUAUCUUUAACUGGAGGUAAAAAAUGGGCUGUAUUAGACUAAUCAUGAAGAAAUGUAGCUGGAGCUAAAAGAGUCUAGAUCAGUGGCUUUUGAGGUAUGGUUUCCACACCAACAGCAUUGGCAUCACUUGGAAAUUGUUAGAACCACAGAUUCUUGCUGCCCUCCCUCAUCUACUGAAUCAGAAACUUUGGGGAAGGGGCGCAAUAACCUGUACUUUAACAAGACCCCUCCCAGGUGAUCUCGUACAUGCUAAAAUUGGAGACCCACUGACCAAAUGCAGGGGUCAGCAAUUACAGCCCUCAGGCCAACAGUGGUUCUGCUUCCUGUAUUUGUAAAUACUAUUUUACCCCAAGAUAGCCACACUCAUUCAUUUCUGUAUUGCCUAAAGUUGCUUUCAAGCUACAACGGAAAAGGUGAGUAGUUGCCAUAGACAUUGCCUGGUUUGCAAGUCUUAAAAUAUUUACAAUAUGGCCCUUUACAGAAAAUGCUUGCCAACCCUGACCUAGAGCAAUGAUUCUCUGCCUUGGCUGAAAAUUAGAAUCAUAUGGGGCACUUAAAAAAAUACUCAAUCAGAGUCCCAUAACCAAGCAUUUAAACAGACUCUCUAGGGUGGGAUCCAUACAUGUUUUUUUUUCUUUAGCUGAUUCCAAUACUUGAUUGAUAUUUGAUAUUCCAAUACUUGAAUAUCAAUACUUGUAUAUCCCAUACUUGAAUAGCAAUAGUUGAUAGUCCAAUACUUGAUCAAUUUCCCUACUUAAUUCCAAUCUGCUAUAUUGUCGAAACUAAUACUCAUAAAUCCUAUCUGCAUGUGUUUUAUGUUGAUUUAGGUAGACAUGGAUAAAGAGUUAUUUCUCUUUUUCAUGGAUACACAAGAAAUUAAUCCCUGGCACAAUGUAAAUACCACAAUAAAGGCAGAUAAUACAAUAUAAAAUGGCAAGUCAACCAUUAUGCAUGUUUCUCAGGCAAAGCCAGGAGCUUUUUUUCCCUGAAGCUUUUGUUUAGGAAUUGGUUGAAAUGAAUAAAUAUAAAUUAUAUUAGUUCUAUAAAGCAUGUACUGGGCAAUUUUCAAACCCAACUUUGAUUGAUCCGUGAAUUUCCAGUAACAUGCACUCACAUUCAAAUUUCAUAGAUUGCUGAAAACACCAGUGAACCUAUUGAAACAGAGCAGGACUCUGUGGGGCUCCUGAACACAAAAGCCUUUCUAGGUCCCCUGUAGGAAAUAGGCUACAUUUAGCCUCUAUGACCUUCCCUGAGUUCCAAAGGCAGGUUCAAACAGUUGCUAAUCAGGGAAGGGAGGGGAGGCAAAGACAAGGGAGGAGCUGUCAAGAAAUAAUAGUUCAGGAGUUCCUGUUGUGGCUCAGCAGGAAGGAACCUGACUAGUAUCCAAGAGGACUUGGGUUUUAUUCCUGGCCUGGCUCAGAGGGUUAGGGAUCCACGUUGCCAUGAGCUGUGGUAUAGAUCUCAGAGGCAGCUCGCUGGUAGCUGCAGCUCCAAUUCAACCCCUAGCCUGGCAACUUCCACAUGCCACACCUGCGCCCCUAAAAAGCAAGCAAAAACAAAACAAGAAAACAAUAGUUCAGCCUUGGGGCAGGGUCCUGUUUUGAAGGCAUUAGCCUGCUGUGGCCCUUUUUACUCAGCAAAGCAAUAUUCUUUUCUACUUUACCCAAAUUUCUGUCUCUGAGAUUCAGUUUGGUACUGGUAUACAGAGGCCAAAUCUUGGCUACACUAUCAAAGUACCAUAAAAAGUAUCCAAUUGCAUAAUUAUAUAUAUAUAUACCCACAUGCACACACAGACGCAGGCACAAAUACAUAUUAUCAUUAAAUUAUGGUAUAUGUGUAAAACGAGUCCUAUAUACUCGAAAGCUACUUAUAUUUAUGUCUUGUUUACAAAGAUACCCUGUUCAUUUUCUAAUCUUACAGAAAAAAAAAAAAAGACUUUUAAAGCAGCAUUGGGAGAAACUUGGUGCCCAAAACAUUAGGAGUGGAGGAAGCACAGAUGAGUCAAAAAAGAAAGCAUUUUGUUUCUCUUCUGACCCAAUUUAAACUCCAAACUUAAAAAUCAUCAUCUAUUUCAGGAAUUACAGAGAUGGCCCAAGGAAGGUAAUGGACAUUGCAGAUAUGUUAUUUGGGUCCAGGGGCAUGGAAUCUAUUUACUAGCCCUAAGGGCACAACAAGAUCCAGGGGUGAUUUCUAAUUCAGUAUGGCAGGUGAGGGCUUUGACCCCAUUAAUGUCCAUGAGAAAUACCUAGACUCAGAAUGUUUUCCAUAAAGCCAAGCUGAUGUGUGCAGGACAUGCUCAGCAUCCCUGAGGGAAAUGAUUUCUUGUUAUGCAAAUACCAUCACUGUGUGAGAUGUGUAAGAUGACAUAUGAAUAAUUAUAUUUAUAGUGAAAUCUCCUGGUUGGGAGAACAAAUGUGGUAACUACUGCCUUAAGAUGAUUCAAAAUGCUUUUCUUAAUCAAAACCAUGUGAAAACAAUGCAUUUUUUUUAACUUUAAAAAAAGAAAGCCCAGUAGGACCUCAUUGCUUAUCCAUUCUAAAUGUAAUAGUUUAUAUCUACCAACCCCAAUAGCAUAGGGAACUGUAUUCAAUUUCCUAUGAUAGAAUAUGAUGGAAGAUAAUGUGAGAAAAAGAAUGUGUGUGUGCAUAUAUGUAUUUAUGACUGGGUCACUUUGCUGUAUAGCAAAAAUUAGCAAAACAGUGUAAAUCAACUAUAAUUUUAAAAAAAUUUAAAAAAGAAAGCCCAAUGUACACAUACUAAAUCCUGGAAAACUCUUAUCACAGCUCAGUUAAAUCAAGAUCUCAUUUCUUAAGUCCCAUCACUACCACUAACAAAAUAUUACUAGAUUCAGCAAACUAUUCAAUAUCUGAUUGCUGAGACCCCAAGGACUGUGGGUGCUUCGAUCCUGGUUAACAUUAGCACUUUUCUAGGAUUAAAAAAAACCAAGGAAAUAAUAAUGAUCUUUAAAAAUGACCAGACAAUGCCACAUUUAUAUGUACUUUUUACCAGUUAGAGAAAAUUAGGUAAUAGCCGUUCAACACUCCUAUUUGGUGGAUAGAGCUUGUAGUAUCAGCCACAUUGUGCAAAUAGGGGAUGCAGAGUCCCAAAGCAAGUGAGCCAGUAAUGAAGGUGAGAAGCAGAGAUUGCAGAGUUGUCCCAGGAUUGUGAAAAGAAACAAUUAAAAAGAAAAAAAAGCCACAGUUAAAGUCUUUAAAACAGUGCAUUUGAAGUUCUCUUGUGGCGCAUCAGGUUAAAGAUCCAGUGUUGUCACUGCAGUGGAGCAGGUUUGACCCCUGGCUAGGAAACUUCCAUAUCCUGUGAGCAGUGCCCCCCCCACCCCCCAAAAAAUCAGGAAUUCUGGUCGUGGUGCAGUGGGAACAAAUCUGACUAGAAAUCAUGAGGUUGUGGGUUCAAUCACUGG